RNAcentral lists this ribosomal RNA (238 nucleotides) under uncultured bacterium. RNAcentral's name for it is "partial 16S ribosomal RNA". It matches the Rfam family "Bacterial small subunit ribosomal RNA", at positions 96 to 334 of the family's 1533-position model. The record is from RNAcentral.
CGGCGGACGGGUGAGUAACGCGUGGGUAACCUGCCUCAUACAGGGGGAUAACAGUUGGAAACGGCUGCUAAUACCGCAUAAGCGCACAGUACCGCAUGGUACGGUGUGAAAAACUCCGGUGGUAUGAGAUGGACCCGCGUCUGAUUAGGUAGUUGGUGGGGUAACGGCCUACCAAGGCGACGAUCAGUAGCCGGCCUGAGAGGGUGAACGGCCACAUUGGGACUGAGACACGGCCCAA